RNAcentral lists this small nuclear RNA (107 nucleotides) under Meriones unguiculatus (Mongolian gerbil). Lineage: Eukaryota; Metazoa; Chordata; Mammalia; Rodentia; Muridae. The record is from RNAcentral.
UUACUCACUUUGGCAGCACAUAUACUAAAAUUACAAUGAUACAGAGGUGAUUAACAUGGCCCCUGAACAAGUAUGACAUGCACUUUCAUGAAGAGGUCCAUAUUUUU